Molecule: long non-coding RNA, 202 nt
Organism: Malurus melanocephalus (red-backed fairy wren)
Lineage: Eukaryota; Metazoa; Chordata; Aves; Passeriformes; Maluridae
Exons: 3
Source: RefSeq, a predicted model, not a curated record
GGACCCCAAGGACCCCCCGGAGGCGUCGGGAAUUUGGGACCUCCCGGAGAAAAGGGUGACCCCGGUGAACCCGGAACCCCCGGAAUUCAAGGAGAACCCGGAAUCAAGGGUCCUCACGGGGAUCGAGGGGAGAAAGGGGAGAGCGGAGCCCCCGGAGCCGCGGGACCCCCGGGGGGRAGAGGAAAACCCGGGGACAGCGGAC